RNAcentral lists this long non-coding RNA (638 nucleotides) under Mus pahari (shrew mouse). RNAcentral's name for it is "lncRNA (MGP_PahariEiJ_G0004000.1)". The record is from RNAcentral. Lineage: Eukaryota; Metazoa; Chordata; Mammalia; Rodentia; Muridae.
CCUGUGGAGGACACGUGUAGUUUGGAGGAAGUAUAAAAAGGACUCCACAAACAGUGACAGAGGCUGAGCUAGGUUUGCUUAUAGAGCUAGCUGCGCAACACUUGUUGAUCUCUUGUCUUUGCUGCUCUUCACUUCUCUGAGAGAGGCACAGCUGAGAACCUCUCCUGGUGUUCCUCCAGGUCCCUCCUGCUGACUUGUGUAGAGGCUGAGUCCUGGCUGUCUCUGCUAGCUAGUGCCACCCACUGCUGAUUCCUGUUUGCUAUCCAGACUCUACCGAAUUGGACUGCUGCUGUAUCUGUGAAGUGUUUGCCAGUGGAUCACGCUGCUGCUGCUGCUGCUGCUGCUGCUGCUGCUGCUGCUAACCUGGGAACUGAAUUACCGACUUUCCGACAACACAGAUGGAAGUUGCUCCAAAGAGCCAUUUCUAAACAGUGUGGUCUCUGAAUUAUAUUCUGAAGUCUGUAUCCUAAAACUUUGUAUUUCUUAACCCUGGAUGGUUUUGAGGGAUUUUAAUCAAUGUAACAUGGGUUUGUUCACUGACCUGUUAGGAUGAUUGUACUUAAAUUGAGGUCUCUUAGCUAUCUAAUGGCCUGGAUAUAUGGCCCCUAAGCUUGCUGGUUCAAGUUUCUUGACUACUC